AGUGAACGCUGGCGGUAGGCCUAACACAUGCAAGUCGAACGGCAGCACAGUAAGAGCUUGCUCUUACGGGUGGCGAGUGGCGGACGGGUGAGGAAUACAUCGGAAUCUACUUUUUCGUGGGGGAUAACGUAGGGAGACUUACGCUAAUACCGCAUACGACCUACGGGUGAAAGCAGGGGAUCUUCGGACCUUGCGCGAUUGAAUGAGCCGAUGUCGGAUUAGCUAGUUGGCGGGGUAAAGGCCCACCAAGGCGACGAUCCGUAGCUGGUCUGAGAGGAUGAUCAGCCACACUGGAACUGAGACACGGUCCAGACUCCUACGGGAGGCAGCAGUGGGGAAUAUUGGACGAUGGGCGCAAGCCUGAUCCAGCCAUACCGCGUGGGUGAAGAAGGCCUUCGGGUUGUAAAGCCCUUUUGUUGGGAAAGAAAAGCAGCAGGUUAAUACCCCGCUGUCCUGACGGUACCCAAAGAAUAAGCACCGGCUAACUUCGUG
This 492-nucleotide ribosomal RNA is filed under the name uncultured bacterium. RNAcentral describes it as "partial 16S ribosomal RNA". It matches the Rfam family "Bacterial small subunit ribosomal RNA", at positions 29 to 507 of the family's 1533-position model. The record is from RNAcentral.